CUACGGGGGGCUGCAGUGAGGAAUAUUGGUCAAUGGGCGCGAGCCUGAACCAGCCAUCCCGCGUGCAGGAUGACGGCCCUAUGGGUUGUAAACUGCUUUUCUAUGCCAUGAAACCUGAUUACGUGUAAUCAGUUGCCGGUAGCAUAGGAAUAAGCAUCGGCUAACUCCGUGCCAGCAGCCGCGGUAAUACGGAGGAUGCAAGCGUUAUCCGGAUUCAUUGGGUUUAAAGGGUGCGCAGGUGGGCUUGUAAGUCAGUGGUGAAAUGCUGCCGCUUAACGGUAGAACUGCCAUUGAUACUGCGAGUCUUGAGUAUGGUUGAGGUAGGCGGAAUGUGUUGUGUAGCGGUGAAAUGCAUAGAUAUGACACAGAACGCCAAUUGCGAAGGCAGCUUACUAAGCCAUUACUGACGCUGAGGCACGAAAGCGUGGGGAGCGAACAGGAUUAGAUACCCGAGUAGUC
RNAcentral lists this ribosomal RNA (459 nucleotides) under uncultured bacterium. RNAcentral describes it as "partial 16S ribosomal RNA". It matches the Rfam family "Bacterial small subunit ribosomal RNA", at positions 339 to 795 of the family's 1533-position model. The record is from RNAcentral.